GAUGAACGCUGGCGGCGUGCAUAAUACAUGCAAGUCGAGCGAACGGACGAGAAGCUUGCUUCUCUGAUGUUAGCGGCGGACGGGUGAGUAACACGUGGAUAACCUACCUAUAAGACUUGGAUAACUUCGGGAAACCGGAGUUAAUACCGGAUGAUAUUUUGAAACGCAUGGUUCAAAAGUGAAAGACGGUCUUGCUGUCACUUAUAGCUGGAUCCGCGCUGCAUUAGCUAGUUGGUAAGGUAACGGCUUACCAAGGCAACGAUGCAUAGCCGACCGGAGAGGCUGAUCGGCCACACUAGAACGGAAACACGGUCCAGACUCCUACGGGAGGCAGAAGUAGGGAAUAUUCCGCAAUAUGCGAAAGCCUGACGGAGCAACGCCGCGUGAGUGAUGAAGGUCUUCGGAUCGUAAAACUCUGUUAUGAGGGAAGAACAUAUGUGUAAGUAACUGUGCACAGCUUGACGGUACAGAAUCAGAAAGCCACGGCUAACUACGUG
RNAcentral lists this ribosomal RNA (497 nucleotides) under uncultured bacterium. Its description in RNAcentral is "partial 16S ribosomal RNA". It matches the Rfam family "Bacterial small subunit ribosomal RNA", at positions 28 to 507 of the family's 1533-position model. The record is from RNAcentral.